GCCCAGACUCCUACGGGAGGCAGCAGUGGGGAAUAUUGCACAAUGGGGGAAACCCUGAUGCAGCGACGCCGCGUGAAGGAAGAAGUAUUUCGGUAUGUAAACUUCUAUCAGCAGGGAAGAAAAUGACGGUACCUGACUAAGAAGCCCCGGCUAACUACGUGCCAGCAGCCGCGGUAAUACGUAGGGGGCAAGCGUUAUCCGGAUUUACUGGGUGUAAAGGGGGCGCAGACGGCAGCGCAAGCCAGGAGUGAAAGCCCGGGGCCCAACCCCGGGACUGCUCUUGGAACUGCGCGGCUGGAGUGCAGGAGGGGCAGGCGGAAUUCCUGGUGUAGCGGUGAAAUGCGUAGAUAUCAGGAGGAACACCGGUGGCGAAGGCGGCCUGCUGGGCUGCGACUGACGUUGAGGCCCGAAAGCGUGGGGAGCAAACAGGAUUAGAUACCCCCGUAGC
This 448-nucleotide ribosomal RNA is filed under the name uncultured bacterium. RNAcentral describes it as "partial 16S ribosomal RNA". It matches the Rfam family "Bacterial small subunit ribosomal RNA", at positions 329 to 794 of the family's 1533-position model. The record is from RNAcentral.